This 497-nucleotide ribosomal RNA is filed under the name uncultured bacterium. RNAcentral's name for it is "partial 16S ribosomal RNA". It matches the Rfam family "Bacterial small subunit ribosomal RNA", at positions 28 to 507 of the family's 1533-position model. The record is from RNAcentral.
GAUGAACGCUGGCGGCGUGCCUAAUACAUGCAAGUCGAGCGAACAGACGAGGAGCUUGCUCCUCUGACGUUAGCGGCGGACGGGUGAGUAACACGUGGAUAACCUACCUAUAAGACUGGGAUAACUUCGGGAAACCGGAGCUAAUACCGGAUAAUAUAUUGAACCGCAUGGUUCAAUAGUGAAAGACGGUUUUGCUGUCACUUAUAGAUGGAUCCGCGCCGCAUUAGCUAGUUGGUAAGGUAACGGCUUACCAAGGCAACGAUGCGUAGCCGACCUGAGAGGGUGGUCGGCCACACUGGGACUAAGACACGGUCCAGACUCCGACGGGAGGCAGCAGUAGGGAGUCGUCCGCAAUGGGCGAAAGCCUGACAGAGCAACGCGGCGUGAGUGAUGAAGGUCUGCGGAUCGUAAAACUCUGUGAUUAGUGAAGAACAAAUAUGUAAGUAACUGUGCACGUCUUGACGGUACCGAAUCAGAAAGCCACGGCUAACUACGUG